This 1800-nucleotide ribosomal RNA is filed under the name Rhipicephalus microplus (southern cattle tick). RNAcentral's name for it is "SSU rRNA". It matches the Rfam family "Eukaryotic small subunit ribosomal RNA". The record is from RNAcentral. Lineage: Eukaryota; Metazoa; Arthropoda; Arachnida; Ixodida; Ixodidae.
CCUGGUUGAUCCUGCCAGUAAUCAUAUGCUUGUCUCAAAGAUUAAGCCAUGCAUGUCUAAGUACAUGCCGAAAUAAGGCGAAACCGCGAAUGGCUCAUUAAAUCAGUUAUGGUUCCUUAGAUCGUUUCUUCCUACUUGGAUAACUGUGGCAAUUCUAGAGCUAAUACAUGCAGUGAGCCUGGAGCCCUUUGGGUAACGGGUGCUUUUAUUAGACCAAGAUCGAUCGGGUUUCGGCCCGUAUUGUGUGGUGACUCUGGAUAACUUUGUGCUGAUCGCAUGGCCACGAGCCGGCGACGUUUCUUUCAAGUGUCUGCCUUAUCAACUUUCGAUGGUAGGUUACUUGCUUACCAUGGUUGUUACGGGUAACGGAGAAUCAGGGUUCGAUUCCGGAGAGGGAGCCUGAGAAACGGCUACCACAUCCAAGGAAGGCAGCGGCGCGCAAAUUACCCACUCCCGGCACGGGGAGUGACGAAAAAUAACAAUACGGGACUCUUUUGAGGCCCCGUAAUUGAAAUGAGUACACUCUAAAUCCUUUAACGAGGAUCAAUUGGAGGGCAAGUCUGGUGCCAGCAGCCGCGGUAAUUCCAGCUCCAAUAGCGUAUACUAAAGCUGCUGCGGUUAAAAAGCUCGUAGUUGGAUCUCAGUUCCAGACGAGUAGUGCAUCUACCCGAUGCGACGGCUCGGACUGAACAUCAUGCCGGUUCUUUCUUGGUGCACUUCAUUGUGUGCCUCGAGAUGGCCGGUGCUUUUACUUUGAAAAAAUUAGAGUGCUCAACGCAGGCGAGUCGCCUGAAUAAACUUGCAUGGAAUAAUAGAACAAGACCUCGUUUCUGUUCUGUUGGUUUUUGGAAUACGAGGUAAUGAUUAAGAGGGACGGACGGGGGCAUUCGUAUUGCGGCGCUAGAGGUGAAAUUCUUGGACCGUCGCAAGACGAACUACUGCGAAAGCAUUUGCCAAGAAUGUUUUCAUUGAUCAAGAACGAAAGUCAGAGGUUCGAAGGCGAUCAGAUACCGCCCUAGUUCUGACCAUAAACGAUGCCAACCAGCGAUCCGCCUGAGUUACUCAAAUGACUCGGCGGGCAGCUUCCGGGAAACCAAAGUAUUUGGGUUCCGGGGGAAGUAUGGUUGCAAAGCUGAAACUUAAAGGAAUUGACGGAAGGGCACCACCAGGAGUGGAGCCUGCGGCUUAAUUUGACUCAACACGGGAAAACUUACCCGGCCCGGACACUGGGAGGAUUGACAGAUUGAGAGCUCUUUCUUGAUUCGGUGGAUGGUGGUGCAUGGCCGUUCUUAGUUGGUGGAGCGAUUUGUCUGGUUAAUUCCGAUAACGAACGAGACUCUAGCCUAUUAAAUAGGUGCGGGGUUCCCAGCACCUUACAACCUUCUUAGAGGGACAAGCGGCUCCUAGCCGCACGAAACAGAGCAAUAACAGGUCUGUGAUGCCCUUAGAUGUCCGGGGCCGCACGCGCGCUACACUGAAGGAAGCAGCGUGUCUUUAUCCCUGUCUGAAAAGACUGGGUAACCCGUGGAACUUCUUUCGUGAUUGGGAUAGGGGCUUGCAAUUGUUCCCCUUGAACGAGGAAUUCCCAGUAAGCGCGAGUCAUAAGCUCGCGUUGAUUACGUCCCUGCCCUUUGUACACACCGCCCGUCGCUACUACCGAUUGAAUGAUUUAGUGAGGUCUUCGGACCGAUGUCCGGCGCGGCCUUUCGGUUGCGCCGGUCUGUUGGAAAGAUGACCAAACUUGAUCAUUUAGAGGAAGUAAAAGUCGUAACAAGGUUUCCGUAGGUGAACCUGCGGAAG